AAAUGUACGCUCCCUCAUGAAUUAUGUUGGUUAUUGAGGAGGCCGAAUGAGUCACUCAACAUUGUACUGUGUGUGAGUGUGCUCGUGCAUGUGUAUGAAUUUGUGUGCAUGCGUGCGUUAGACACAUGUAUAUAGUGAAAUAAUCAUCCUAUUAGACUAAUGCAUGGGUGUGGGACCAACCCAACAAAUAGCUAGGCCUACCACCAUGCUAAGGCAAAUCCCAACAACCUUAUGGGUUGGUAGUGGAAAGUUUUGAGUGCAAGCCUGCAACCUGGCGAUGCCAGUUUCUCUCCUUGGGGGGCCACAUAGCCCUAAUCACAGCCGCCUUUUCCAACAUCCCACUCUUUCAAAUGUCCGUCAUGUGAUCAGGUUCAUAUAAACUGGCUGCUACCACACUUUCGUGGGACUGGAAUCUGUUAAUAAGUGAUCGUCAUUCAUAUUCUGGUUUAUGCUUGUAGGAGACUUUGACAUAGUUGAAACUCCAUUGCUCCUUAUCAAAAUGCUGUCACAAGUUUGUUAUUAUGCUCUCUCUCUGCGCUAGGGAUUUUAAACUCUCUCUCUCUCUUUCUACACUAGAUAUUUUAAUGUUUCCCCAAUCAUAAUUUUUUUGGAAACUAUGAGCUCCAGGGAUUUUAAUGUUUAUCCAAUUAUAUGUUUUUUGGAACAUCUGGUUAGGUGGGAAAUCUACGGAGAAGCAUGGUCACAAGCACCAUAAUGCAGUCUUCAUUCAGUGAGUUCUUUCUCGUAGCAUCAUUGGCUGCUCGAAUUGCUGCCUUUGUCCACAGUGUAAGAAGAAAUGUAUGCUCAAAGAUAUUAGAAAGCUUUAUGCACCACAUAUUGCUGUGGCUAGUGGAGAGUUACCACAGGAAGUGAUCUCUCUUCGAGAUGAAAAUGCAUUCCUUAAGUUGCAGGUAUUGUAUGAUUUGAAAAAAUUUAUGUAGCUAUAUUUUGAUUUUGGCGCGUGCAGUAAGUUGUUAAUUAAUGUGUCACUUUGUUGUUGUUGUAAUAGUUAACUCAAUGACCUAUGUAACUGUUAAUUAAAGAGAAUGCAAUUCUGUCUAUUGAUGA
Amborella trichopoda is the source of this 1068-nucleotide non-coding RNA. The record is from RefSeq and is a predicted model, not a curated record. NCBI's taxonomy places the organism in Eukaryota, Viridiplantae, Streptophyta, Magnoliopsida, Amborellales, Amborellaceae.